Molecule: ribosomal RNA, 483 nt
Filed under: uncultured bacterium
Lineage: Bacteria
Description: partial 16S ribosomal RNA
Rfam family: Bacterial small subunit ribosomal RNA
Source: RNAcentral
UUGAACGCUGGCGGCAUGCCUUACACAUGCAAGUCGAACGGUAACAGGUCUUUCGGGAUGCUGACGAGUGGCGAACGGGUGAGUAAUACAUCGGAACGUGCCUAGUAGUGGGGGAUAACUACUCGAAAGAGUGGCUAAUACCGCAUGAGAUCUAUGGAUGAAAGCAGGGGACCUUUGGGCCUUGUGCUACUAGAGCGGCCGAUGGCAGAUUAGGUAGUUGGUGGGAUAAAAGCUUACCAAGCCUACGAUCUGUAGCUGGUCUGAGAGGACGAUCAGCCACACUGGGACUGAGACACGGCCCAGACUCCUACGGGAGGCAGCAGUGGGGAAUUUUGGACAAUGGGCGCAAGCCUGAUCCAGCAAUGCCGCGUGCAGGAUGAAGGCCUUCGGGUUGUAAACUGCUUUUGUACGGAACGAAAAGUCUUGGGUUAAUACCCUGGGAUCAUGACGGUACCGUAAGAAUAAGCACCGGCUAACUACGUG